RNAcentral lists this long non-coding RNA (239 nucleotides) under Elaeis guineensis (African oil palm). Its description in RNAcentral is "long non-coding RNA (EGUI_LNC015463)". The record is from RNAcentral. Lineage: Eukaryota; Viridiplantae; Streptophyta; Magnoliopsida; Arecales; Arecaceae.
AAAUAGAUUUCAAAAGUACUUUAUUUUAGAUAUACGCUACAAGCUCGAGGGUAUAUCCUCAAAUGGAUAUCGAAAAAUCCGUGAAAACAUCAUGGACCACACCAUAUCUAACAAGAUGCGAUUCCUCCUUUCUGUAAUUUUAUUUAAUUAUGGGUAUAAGGAGGUGUCCAUUGAGAGAGUAUUUUAUUUUGUUUUAAAUAAUCAAGGAACUCAUUAGACAAGUAUUCUCUUCCUCGAUC